Molecule: long non-coding RNA, 184 nt
Filed under: Dendronephthya gigantea
Lineage: Eukaryota; Metazoa; Cnidaria; Anthozoa; Malacalcyonacea; Nephtheidae
Description: uncharacterized LOC114542505
Source: RNAcentral
UAAAGAAAGACUUAUCAAAAUGCUCAUUGCUCACAAAGGAGACCAAAACAAAAUAUGAGAUAAAGAUCUCGAAGCACUGUUUCACGAUUUGAGAAGUUGGGUUCGAUCCAAAGCAGGUUUCGCGCUUUCACAACGCUCACUAGGCAAUUGAGUGGACAUCUUGUGGCUCUCUGGACAACUGAUC